This is a non-coding RNA of Vicugna pacos (alpaca), 1638 nucleotides long. The record is from RefSeq and is a predicted model, not a curated record. Lineage: Eukaryota; Metazoa; Chordata; Mammalia; Artiodactyla; Camelidae.
CCGCGGCAGCUUCCGGCCUGGCGCGCUGGAAAUGACGGUUGGGCGGGUGAGUCGAGUGUCUAAGAUAGCCUUUGCCCCGCGGGGCCGGUUCGAGCGCAGCGGCUUUGGCCUUUCUCCUGAAGCUCUCGCCUUGUGUUCUAAGUCCUGGGACGGAAAGACUCGCAGCGGCCUUGAGCCGGGACCUCCACCCUCUUGGGAGGCGUGGGGCCGAGGUAGCCUGGUGUUUCGGCCCCGUUGCCCUUCAGGGCUCCAGUCCGCUCACUUUCCUAGUGAAGACGGCUUUUACGGGCUCCAAACCUCUUGCCCUUACGGUUUUUGCUAACAAAACACUCUUUCACUAUGGCCCUUCCGCGUCCUUGUGGGCCCUUGUGUUGGGCAGUGGGGACUCGAAGACAACUCCUUACUCUCAGAGAGCUCCGAAACUAGUGGAGUAGAUAGACCCGGGGAAGUAAAUUCUGGUAUUAGAUGGAGUAGUGUAACUGAGCAAAGGCCGUGUGCCCGGGUCGCAAAAAGCCGGUCAGAUAGCGAGUGUUUGCUGCAAAGAAAGGGGUUUAUUUGCUGGGCGCCAAACGAAGGAGUAAAAGACAAGCCUCAGAUUCAUUCCAUCUUGGUCUUUAAGAGUGAAGUUUUUAUCAGAGGGGCGUACCUGGAGGUGAUUCUCCACAUUGUAGGAACUGAAUUUGAAGCCUCACAUCAGCCUCAGUUGGAAUUGAAUUCCUCUUUAUUGCUCACAGUCUCUCAGGUGGCUGAUGGCAGAUCCUGACCUCUCAGAGGCAUUGGCCAGUUGGAGAUCUCCCACCAGAUCUUCAGACUCACCUGUUAUCAGCAACUGCUGGGCCUCACUCACAAGGCCCUCAGCCAACUCUUGGAGCUCUGCUUGUGAUGGUUGCAGCCCAAACUACAUUCAAGAAGAUCCUGGAGCUGAAGCAAUUCCUAACCAUCCUUCACAGGGAGAUCCAAGCCUGGAUGAGGGUGUGUCAUCUAGGAAGCUUUGAGAAUGCAAUGACUGGUGCAGCAUUUGGACUGAGAAUGAAGGCAAUGAAGCCACUGAGGAUGAGCAGCAGGACUUUGAGGAGGCUGGAGCUCAUAACGGUGAAAGCAAGGAUUUGGCCCUGGUGAAGUCAGUGAUGAAAUGGCACAGACUAGCCCAGCAUCCCGGAAGUCCAGGGCUGUUCCCAAACUGACUGUCUUUUUGCCAGAUUCCUUGAAUCAAAGAUGUUGUCCUGUUGACUCUGGAACACUGACUACACGUAGUAGACUUAAUGAAUAAUCCCUUGACUAGUACCAGCUGACACUGUGAAAACACUGACCACUGGAAGAACACUGACAACGGCAAAUACUCAGGUUCUCCUAAAUAUGAUUCAGUAAAUAUUUAUGGAAUGCCAGUCUUAGCCAGGCAACUCUGCCAAACGCUGCAGGACAUACAAAUGAAAAGAAGGAUCCCAUCUUCCAGGGAGCACGCAGUGGUAGGAAAAUCAGAAGAUAGCACAAAGGGGACCUGAAUUCCACUGAAGGACCUGCUGCUGGUAAAUUAUGUGACCCUGAGCAACUCUCUUCCUGGCAAGGAAGCAAGCUCUCAAUUCUCUGAUGAGAACUAUAAAUGGAACUUAUUUCACAGGUUAUAAACUAUCUAACAAG